Molecule: microRNA, 20 nt
Filed under: Ciona intestinalis (vase tunicate)
Lineage: Eukaryota; Metazoa; Chordata; Ascidiacea; Phlebobranchia; Cionidae
Description: cin-miR-4143-5p
Source: miRBase by way of RNAcentral
CAUGUUUUGUGUAAUUGUGU